GACGAACGCUGGCGGCGUGCCUAAUACAUGCCAGUUGAGCGCUGAAGGUUGGUACUUGUCCCGACUGGAUGAGCAGCGAACGGGUGAGUAACGCGUGGGGAAUCUGCCUUUGAGCGGGGGACAACAUUUGGAAACGAAUGCUAAUACCGCAUAAAAACUUUAAACAUAAGUUUUAAGUUUGAAAGAUGCAAUUGCAUCACUCAAAGAUGAUCCCGCGUUGUAUUAGCUAGUUGGUGAGGUAAAGGCUCACCAAGGCGAUGAUACAUAGCCGACCUGAGAGGGUGAUCGGCCACAUUGGGACUGAGACACGGCCCAAACUCCUACGGGAGGCAGCAGUAGGGAAUCUUCGGCAAUGGACGAAAGUCUGACCGAGCAACGCUGCGUGAGUGAAGAAGGGUUUCGGAUCGUAAAACUCUGUUGGUAGAGAAGAACGUUGGUGAGAGUGGAAAGCUCAUCAAGUGACGGUAACUACCCAGAAAGGGACGGCUAACUACGUG
Molecule: ribosomal RNA, 497 nt
Filed under: uncultured bacterium
Lineage: Bacteria
Description: partial 16S ribosomal RNA
Rfam family: Bacterial small subunit ribosomal RNA
Source: RNAcentral